RNAcentral lists this ribosomal RNA (497 nucleotides) under uncultured bacterium. RNAcentral's name for it is "partial 16S ribosomal RNA". It matches the Rfam family "Bacterial small subunit ribosomal RNA", at positions 28 to 507 of the family's 1533-position model. The record is from RNAcentral.
GAUGAACGCUGGCGGCGUGCCUAAUACAUGCAAGUCGAGCGAACGGACGAGAAGCUUUCUUCUCUGAUGUUGGCGGCGGACGGGUGAGUAAGACGUGGAUAACCUACCUAUAAGACUUGGGUAACUUCGGGAAACCGUAGCUGAUACCGGAUAAUAUGUUGUACCGCAUGGUUCAAGAGUGAAAGACGGUCUUGCUGUCACUUAUAGAUGGAGCCGCGUUGCAUUAGCUAGUUGGUAAGGUAACGGCUUACCAAGGCAACGAUGCAUAGCCGACCUGAGAGGGUGAUCGGCCACACUGGAACUGAGACACGGUCCAGACUCCUACGGGAGGCAGCAGUAGGGAAUAUUGCGCAAUGGGCGCAGGCCUGACCGAGCAACACCGCGUGAGUGAAGAAGGUCUUCGGGUCGUAAAACUCUGUUAUUAGGGAAGAAAAUAAGCGUAAGAAACUGCGCACAUCUUGACGGUACCUAAACAGAAAGCAACGGCUAACUACGUG